CGGGUUAAAGACCGGGGAAGAAAGAUUCAUCGCUGAAGGAUGAGCCUGUGUCCGAAGCUAGUUGGUGGGGGAAUGGCCCACCAAGGCGACGAUCGGUAGCUGGUGAGAGGACGAUCAGCCACACUGGGACUGAGACACGGCCCAGACUCCUGGGAGGCAGCAGUGGGGAAUUUUCCGCAAUGGGCGAAAGCCUGACGGAGACGCCGCGUGGAGGAUGAAGGUUUUCGGAUUGUAAACUCCUUUCGGCAGGGACGAAUAAAUGACGGUACCUGCAAAAGAAGCAUCGGCUACUACGUGCCAGCAGCCGCGGUAAGACGUAGGAUGCAAGCGUUGUUCGGAUUAUUGGGCGUAAAGAGUACGUAGGCGGUUCAGCAAGUGGAAGGUUAAAACAGAGCUCAACUCUGGGAGUGCCCCCCAAACUGCUGGACUAGA
Molecule: ribosomal RNA, 432 nt
Filed under: uncultured bacterium
Lineage: Bacteria
Description: bacterial SSU rRNA
Rfam family: Bacterial small subunit ribosomal RNA
Source: RNAcentral